GACGAACGCUGGCGGCGUGCUUAACACAUGCAAGUCGAACGGAAAGGCCCUGCUUUUGUGGGGUGCUCGAGUGGCGAACGGGUGAGUAACACGUGAGUAACCUGCCCUUGACUUUGGGAUAACUUCAGGAAACUGGGGCUAAUACCGGAUAGGAGCUCCUGCUGCAUGGUGGGGGUUGGAAAGUUUCGGCGGUUGGGGAUGGACUCGCGGCUUAUCAGUUUGUUGGUGGGGUAGUGGCUUACCAAGGCUUUGACGGGUAGCCGGCCUGAGAGGGUGACCGGCGACAUUGGGACUGAGAUACGGCCCAGACUCCUACGGGAGGCAGCAGUGGGGAAUAUUGCACAAUGGGCGGAAGCCUGAUGCAGCAACGCCGCGUGCGGGAUGACGGCCUUCGGGUUGUAAACCGCUUUCGCCUGUGACGAAGCGUGAGUGACGGUAAUGGGUAAAGAAGCACCGGCUAACUACGUG
RNAcentral lists this ribosomal RNA (468 nucleotides) under uncultured bacterium. RNAcentral's name for it is "partial 16S ribosomal RNA". It matches the Rfam family "Bacterial small subunit ribosomal RNA", at positions 28 to 507 of the family's 1533-position model. The record is from RNAcentral.